UCACUUUGCCAACAUUCAGAUUUUUAUAUGUUGAUGCUUUUGAGUUGAUAUGGAUGCAAGAGUGCUUUUAUCUGAAUGUAGUCACUUUGCCAACAUUCAGUGAUUGUGCUUAAAAUUACCAGGUGCUAAUGCAUCUCAAUAUAUGCAUGCACAUUUAGCAGAUUAUUAGAUGGCUCUGACAUAAUGUUUCUUCAUUUGUUUAUUUUGUAUCAUGAGUGUCUUCAUGUUCUCUUGUGCUGGCUGCAUCACAUUUUAUCUAUUUUGAUGCUUUUGAGUUGAUAUGGAUGCAAGAAUGCUUUUAUCUUAAUUUAAUCACUUUGCCUACAUGGAUUGAGUGUUCUUAAAAUUAUCAGUUGUUAACUUAUCUCAAUAUAUGCAUACGAAUUUAACAUAUUAAUAGAUACCUCUGAAAACAUGUUUCGUGUUUUGUGUAUUUUGUAUCAUGAACUUUUGUGUAUUUUGUAUCACACUUGAUGAUUGAGUGUAUUUUUCUUAUCCUUUUUUAAAUGUACAUGAGGAGUUGAUUUAUGUGAAAUUGUUUUUUACCUGUUCACUGCAGGCAUUAGCCAGACUCCCUCAAUGCUUUGUUCGCAAUUUCGGGGUCUUAAUUGAUACAUAUGUGAUUCUUCGAGAUCCUAAUCCUAAUGAGUUCGAGCAUGUUAUGAAAAAAUCUAAUGACAUGUACUUUGAUCAAGGAUGGUUGGUUCUUAGAAAUGUUUACGACAUAUGGUUUGGUGUUUGGCUUAGUUUUACUUAUGUUAAUCCUAAGCUUUUAAAUAUAACAUAAGAUGUUUAUAAUCUUUACCUCGUAUUUAUAUAAUGUGAUCCUAUUCCAUCUUCAAUAGAUUUUGUAUCUUUCUAAUAUAGAUUUCUAUAAUUUAUUUGCGCUUCGUAUAAUCAUCGAUAAAUAUCUAAGAAUUUGAUAUAUUACCUUAUUGUACGAUUUAUAAAUCUUCUGGUAUUGAUUGAGGUCCUUCGGGUAUAAAUCUAGAUAUGAAUUCAUG
RNAcentral lists this long non-coding RNA (1004 nucleotides) under Trifolium pratense (red clover). RNAcentral's name for it is "long non-coding RNA (TPRA_LNC000313)". Lineage: Eukaryota; Viridiplantae; Streptophyta; Magnoliopsida; Fabales; Fabaceae. The record is from RNAcentral.